CCUGUACCCACUUCAACGACCUGUUCCCCAAGAUACCUCAGGCCCUCUAGCUACCCGUUCACCAGAUACAAACAAGGGAUAUGAUAAAUUCAUUCACAUUUCGGUGGUUUCAAUUUCAAGAAAUUUGCUUCUCCCCAGACGGCGUGCAUUUGCACAAAAACAUUGAAGCAAGAAAGUAAUGUUGUGUAACUCAAAAAAGUAAGUCACAGGCUGGGCGCGGUGGCUCACGCCUGUAAUCCCAGCACUUUGGGAGGCCGAGGCGGGUGGAUCACGAGGUCAAGAGAUCGAGACCAUCCUGGCCAACAUGGUGAAACCCCGUCUCUACUAAAAAUACAAAAAGUAGCUGGGCGUGGUGCCGCGUGCCUGUAGUCCCAGCUACUCAGGAGGCUGAGGCAGGAUAAUCGCUUGAAUCCGGGAGGUGGAGGUUGCAGUGAGCCGAGAUCGCGCCACUGCACUCCAGCCUGGCGACAGAGCAAGACUGCGUCUCAAAAAAAAAAAAAAAAAAAAGGCUGGAGUGCAACGGCACAAUCUCGGCUCACCGCAACCUCCGCCUCCCGGGUUCAAGCGAUUCUGCUGCCUCAGCCUCCUGAGUAGCUGGGAUUACAGGCAUGUGCCACCACGCCCGGCUAAUUUUGUAUUUUUAGUACAGAUAGGGUUUCUCCAUAUUGGUCAGGCUGGUCUCGAACUCCCAACCUCAGGUGAUCCGCAUGCCUCAGCCUCCCAAAGUUCUGGGAUUACAGGCAUGAGCCACCGCACCCGGCCAUUUGUAUGUAAUUUUCUAUAUUUAUUGAAAUGCAUUUUAAGUAAUAUGAAAGCAUUUUUCUCCUUACAAUGGAAAAACCAACUUGAUUUUACAUUUAUUUAUAUAACCUGACUUAAUUCUAUGUAAGUCAAGUGAAAAAGGAAACAACUGCUCUGUGGAAUCAACCUGAAGAUGUCUAAUUUUUCCUCUGAUGCCACCAGACUUAAAGCAGUUCACGAUCCUCUCUACAAAGAAGUAUAUUUAGGUUCUCCCUCUCCCUCUCCCUCUCCCUCUCCCCACGGUCUCCCUCUGAUGCCGAGCCGAAGCUGGACUGUACUGCUGCCAUCUCGGCUCACUGCAGCCUCCCUGCCUGAUUCUCCUGCCUCAGCCUGCCCAGUGCCUGCGAUUGCAGGUGCGCGCCGCCACGCCUGACUGGUUUUCGUAUUUUUUUGGUGGAGACGGGGUUUCGCUGUGUUGGCCAGGCUGGUCUCCAGCUCCUAACCGCGAGUGAUCCGCCAGCCUUGGCCUCCCGAGGUGCCAGGAUGGCAGACGGAGUCGCGUUCACUCAGUGCUCAAUGGUGCCCAGGCUGGAGUGCAGUGGCAUGAUCUCGGCUCGCUACAACCUCCACCUCCCAGCUGCCUGCCUUGGCCCCCCAAAGUGCCGAGAUUGCAGCCUCUGCCUGGCCACCACCCCGUCUGGGAAGUGAGGAGCGUCUCUGCCUGGCCGCCCAUCGUCUGGGAUGUGAGGAGCCUCUCUGACUGGCUGCCCAGUCUGGAAAGUGAGGAGCGUCUCUGCCCGGCCGCCAUCCCAUCUAGGAAGUGAGGAGCGUCUCUGCCAGGCCGCCCAUCGUCUGAGAUGUGGGGAGCGCCUCUGCCCUGCCGCCCCGUCUGGGAUGUGAGGAGCGUCUCUGCCCGGCUGACCCGUCUGAGAAGUGAGGAGACCCUCUGCCUGGCAACCGCCCCGUCUGAGAACCCAAAGACUAGAAUUCCAUUUCUAAACCCAGCCCAGCAGCCGGAAGUCAUGAAGCAGUCAACCUGCCUGGACAUCCAGCUACGCUCUGCUGCGCCAUUCUAUCCACCCAUCAAGACUCCCCUCCCUUCUACUGUAUGUCACCAUAAGUUUUCGUGCCUGUUCUGCAUGCUCAAUUGAACUUCCCUCUAUCAGGUCACUCAAGCCAUUCUCCUGUUCCCACUCUAACCUGCUUUGGAAUCUAUGGCUGCCUAAUGACACUUACAAACAAGUACAUUCAAGGUCAAACAUCCUCAGGUCAAAUUCGUGGCAAGAGGGAUGAUCUUUUAAACCUACAUUUUUGGGCCGGGUGAGGUGGAUCACACCUGUAAUCCCAGCACUUUGGGAGACUGAGGGGGCAGAUCACCUGAGAUCAGGAGUUUGAGACCAGCCUGGCCCACAUGGCAAAAUCCCAUCUCUACUAAAAAUGUUUAAAAAAAAAAAAUAGCCAGGCUUGGUGGCACACACCUGUAGUCCCAACUACUCAAGAGGCUGAGACCGGAGAAUCGCUUGAACCUGGAAGGCAGAGGUUGCAGUGGACCGAGAUCGCACCACUGCACUCCAGCCUGGGCAACAGAGCAAGACUCCAUCUCAGGGAGGGAAAAAAAAACUUACAUUCCCUCCACCUCUCCCUCUCUUUGUUUUAAUGAAGCAUCAGUAACUUCAGCUGUUAUGAUAAAUUGAAAUAGCUGCAAAUCAGCAAAACUCAUGUUUGAUGGGUUAUCUUCUAUCAAAGAGUGAGAGAUGCCUUGCCCUGAUCAUUCCUAUUGCUAACAUAAAUUCCAUUGAGUUCUUAGGCCUAAGAGGAAAGAAAGUAAAGAGAAGAAGAAUGGACUGCACAAUGAAGCUAUCAGAUCAGCCCACGUUGGGAUGGGGUCAAUAGAUGCAAAAUGAACACCAUUCUUCAAAGUAAUCAUCUAACAGCAUGGUAAACAUCUACUGACCCCUUAGCAAUAACAACUGAUUUAACACAUUCCGAUGGUUCUAUUUGGCAGGGAGGAAUGGGAGACAUUUAUCUCUUCGGGAUGGAUAAUUGCACUUGGCUGUUCUUUCCUUUCCAUUCUCAUUGUCACUAACCUGAUCCAGAACCUUAGCACUACCCACCUAAGGAAUGUUGCAGCAGCCCAGGAUGACUGCUGGCUAUGUGCUUUCCCAUUCUAAUGCACCCUACUCUAUCCUAGGAUAACCCUCCUAAAAGCCAACUGGGAUUGAAUUACUCCUCUGCCAAGAACCCUCUGCUGCACCUUAUCCAAGGCCCACCAUAAAAUGAUGCCAGCCCACCUCACCCAAAACCUCUUCCAGAAAGUCCCAGCUCCACCCUGGUUCUCUCCUCCACAGAUGUCAGACCUGUAUGUGGUCUGAUGGCUCUCUCAGCCUCCUUCAUUCUCUCCCCAUUUCUGCCACAUUUUCCCCAAUAAAUCUUGUGUGUGUCUAAUUCCAUUUUGGUGUCUGCAUCUCAGAUGAUCUGAACUAACACAAAUGGAGAGUGAAAAACAAAAAAAAAAGUCUGGCCACAUUUAUAAAUUCAUCCCAGGCUGCAAAGAGUUAGACAGCACUUCCCCAAAGAAAACUGUCACGUAAAACAUUCAAAGAUUCUCAGUUUAGCCAUCAUCUAGCCAGUUCUUCCCACUGAUCACAUUUUCCCAAUUUAUAGAUAGGAAUACUGAGCCUCAAGAGGUUAAGUAAAUCGCCUGAAGAUUAUACAGCUAGUAAAUGAUGAAAUCAGGGCUCUUGACUCAAAGUCCCAGUGUCAUCCAACUACACUUGAGUGGGCUUGAAACGAAUCCUAAGAGUUUUGUAAAUGGUAUAUCAUUAUCUAACAUAAGGUACUAUGAACCACUGCCAUCAUCAUCCUCAUUUCUCUCUGAGGAUCUUUGCAGUAAAGUGAAGGUAGUAGUAGAUCUGUCAUACUGAAUGUUGAAGUCAGAAUAAUGGCUCCCCAAAGAUGCCCAAACCCUAACCCCAAACCCUGUGAUUAUAUAACCUUACAUAGCAAAAUGGACUUUGCAGAUGUGAUUAAGUUUAGGAUUCUGAGAUAGAGAGAUGACCCUGGAUUAUUCCAGGGUCCCAGUGUAGUCACAAGUGUCCUUAUGAGAGGAAAGCAGGAGCACCAGAGUCAAAAGAGAUACAAGGCUAGAGGGUGAGAGGGAGCCCUGAAGAUGCCACUCUGCUGCUUUGAAGAUAGAAGGGGCUACAAGCCAAGGAACACAGGCAGCCUCUAAAAGCUGGAAAAGUUGCUGGGCGUGGUGGCUCAUGCCUGUAAUCCCAGCACUUUGGGAGGCCAAGGCGGGUGGAUCACG
This 4051-nucleotide long non-coding RNA is filed under the name Homo sapiens (human). RNAcentral describes it as "HSALNT0032911". The record is from RNAcentral. Lineage: Eukaryota; Metazoa; Chordata; Mammalia; Primates; Hominidae.